AUGAUUUUUGAAAUUUCAAAACGAAGGGGCUGCUCGGUGAACAAGGCUUUGCAAAACAACUUCUGGGUCUCCCAAAUCAACACUCGUGGCAUCUUCUCCGCUAACCAGCUCACUCAGUUCGUCAACCUUUGGGAAAAAAUUUCGGUUGUUCAACUCAACCCAGAUGGGGUCGACACUAUCUCAUGGAAGUUCACUAAUGAUGGUCUGUACACUGCGGCGUCGGCCUACAAAGCUCAGUUCUCUGGUCUGGUUGACACUAACAUGUUACAGUGGGUUUGGAAGAAUUGGGCUCCCCCCAAAUGCAAAUUUUUUGCCUGGUUGGUUAUCAACAAUAGGAUUUGGACGGCCGAUAGGCUCCAACGACGUGGAUGGCCUAAUUGUGAUCGUUGUCCUCUUUGUAAGCAGGUGCAAGUAUCCGCGGCGCACAUCCUCUUCCGGUGCCGCUACACUGUUCGAGUUUGGGGUAUAGUCAAAUCUUGGCUUGGCCUGGGGGAUGUGCAUCCUUCGGCUUGGGUGGUGAUGGAUUCGGUGAAGUCUUGGUGGAACCUGAUUGCAUCCAACACAUCGCAGUCGCGCCGGCCGAUGCUCUCUCUUAUGAUGCUAGUCUCAUGGGAAAUCUGGAAAGAAAGGAAUGCUCGUGUCUUUAGGGGCACCGCGGUGCCGGUGGGGGUUAUUGUUGCUAAAAUUAAAGAUGAGUACAAGUUGUGGUGUUUCGCGGGGGCUAAGUGCUUGAGUAAUGUAAUACCGCGAGAGUAA
RNAcentral lists this ribosomal RNA (756 nucleotides) under Triticum aestivum (bread wheat). RNAcentral describes it as "partial small subunit ribosomal RNA". Lineage: Eukaryota; Viridiplantae; Streptophyta; Magnoliopsida; Poales; Poaceae. The record is from RNAcentral.